UUUCCGGUUGAUCCCGCCGGAGGCCAUUGCUAUUGGAGUCCGAUUUAGCCAUGCUAGUUGUACGAGUUUACACUCGUAGCAGAUAGCUCAGUAACACGUGGCCAAACUACCCUCUGGAGCACGAUAACCUCGGGAAACUGAGGCUAAUAGUGCAUACCGCUCGACGCCUGGAACUGGCUCGAGCUCGAAACGCUCCGGCGCCAGAGGAUGUGGCUGCGGCCGAUUAGGUAGACGGUGGGGUAACGGCCCACCGUGCCAAUAAUCGGUACGGGUUGUGAGAGCAAGAGCCCGGAGACGGUAUCUGAGACAAGAUACCGGGCCCUACGGGGCGCAGCAGGCGCGAAACCUUUACACUGCACGCCAGUGCGAUAAGGGGACUCCAAGUGCGAGGGCAUAACGUCCUCGCUUUUCGUGACCGUAAGGUGGUCACAGAAUAAGGGCCGGGCAAGAAUCGAAUUCCCG
This 462-nucleotide ribosomal RNA is filed under the name uncultured archaeon. RNAcentral describes it as "bacterial SSU rRNA". It matches the Rfam family "Archaeal small subunit ribosomal RNA", at positions 1 to 464 of the family's 1478-position model. The record is from RNAcentral.